UCUGAGAGAGACUCUUCACCACUACUAAACCGUGACUGCGUUUUAGCUUGUUAGCUGAUGUGGAUUGCAUUCUUUUGAGACUUCAAAGCUGAGACUCUGCACAGAUUGGAUUUAUGCCAUCAGGAUGAGGUGGUAGUGCAAAUGGAUGCCGAGUGUUGUGAAUAGAAGGUGUUGGAAAUAAACCCCAGGGGUCCAGUCAGCACAGAGCACGCAACCGGGCCCACAAGACACAGCACUCGCCACCAUUUUAUUCAGUGCAUCCUGCGGCUCUGGAGGUUGGACUUAGCAAGUUCAGUGCUGUCUGCGACUGUCAGAAACGAUGGGAGUCCUGCUGCUCCUCCAGACUGCUCAUGGGAAAUGGAGGCUGGAGCUGCCUGCCCACGUCACUCAAAGUCCAGAA
Anguilla rostrata (American eel) is the source of this 400-nucleotide long non-coding RNA. RefSeq lists it as uncharacterized. NCBI's taxonomy places the organism in Eukaryota, Metazoa, Chordata, Actinopteri, Anguilliformes, Anguillidae. The record is from RefSeq and is a predicted model, not a curated record. The transcript is spliced from 3 exons.